This 465-nucleotide ribosomal RNA is filed under the name uncultured bacterium. RNAcentral describes it as "partial 16S ribosomal RNA". It matches the Rfam family "Bacterial small subunit ribosomal RNA", at positions 28 to 507 of the family's 1533-position model. The record is from RNAcentral.
GACGAACGCUGGCGGCGUGCUUAACACAUGCAAGUCGAACGGAAAGGCCCUGCUUGCAGGGUACUCGAGUGGCGAACGGGUGAGUAACACGUGGGUGAUCUGCCCUGCACUUCGGGAUAAGCCUGGGAAACUGGGUCUAAUACCGGAUAGGAGCCAUUUUUAGUGUGAUGGUUGGAAAGUUUUUUCGGUGUAGGAUGAGCUCGCGGCCUAUCAGCUUGUUGGUGGGGUAAUGGCCUACCAAGGCGGCGACGGGUAGCCGGCCUGAGAGGGUGGACGGCCACAUUGGGAUUGAGAUACGGCCCAGACUCCUACGGGAGGCAGCAGUGGGGAAUAUUGCACAAUGGGCGCAAGCCUGAUGCAGCGACGCCGCGUGGGGGAUGACGGCCUUCGGGUUGUAAACUCCUUUCGCUAGGGACGAAGCUUUUUGUGACGGUACCUAGAGAAGAAGCACCGGCUAACUACGUG